GAUGAAGAACGCAGCGAAAUGCGAUACGUAGUGUGAAUUGCAGAAUUCAGUGAAUCAUCGAAUCUUUGAACGCACAUUGCACCUCUCGGUAUUCCGGGAGGUAUGCGUGUUCGAGCGUCAUUUGUACCCUCAAGCUCUGCUUGGUGUUGGGUGUUUGUUCCGCCUCUGUGUGUGAACUCGCCUCAAAACAAUUGGCAGCCGGCGUACUUGUUUCGGAGCGCAGCACAUUUUGCGAUCCAGAUCAACGUACAGCGGCAUCCAAGAAGCCUUAUUUAACGCUCUUGACCUCGGAUCAGGUAGGGAUACCCGCUGAACUUAAGCAUAUCAAUAAGCGGAGGA
Molecule: unclassified non-coding RNA, 339 nt
Filed under: soil metagenome
Description: partial contains 5.8S ribosomal RNA, internal transcribed spacer 2, and large subunit ribosomal RNA
Rfam family: 5.8S ribosomal RNA (bases 1-120)
Source: RNAcentral